CUGGUGUCAGCCGCCGCGGUAAUACCAGCACCUCGAGUGGUCAGGACGUUUAUUGGGCCUAAAGCAUCCGUAGCCGGCUCUGCAAGUCUUCGGUUAAAUCCACCUGCUCAACAGAUGGGCUGCUGGAGAUACUACAGAGCUAGGGAGUGGGAGAGGCAGACGGUAUUCAGUGGGUAGGGGUAAAAUCCUCUGAUCCAUUGAGGACCACCAGUGGCGAAGGCGGUCUGCCACAACACGUUCGACGGUGAGGGAUGAAAGCUGGGGGAGCAAACCGGAUUACAUACCCGGGUAGUCCCAGCUGUAAACGAUGCAAACUCGGUGAUGCAUUGGCUUAUGGCCAAUGCAGUGCCACAGGGAAGCCGUUAAGUUUGCCGCCUGGGAAGUACGGACGCAGUCUGAAAUUAAAG
This 407-nucleotide ribosomal RNA is filed under the name uncultured Nitrososphaerota archaeon. Its description in RNAcentral is "bacterial SSU rRNA". It matches the Rfam family "Archaeal small subunit ribosomal RNA", at positions 452 to 861 of the family's 1478-position model. The record is from RNAcentral. Lineage: Archaea; Thermoproteati; Nitrososphaerota.